This 255-nucleotide ribosomal RNA is filed under the name uncultured bacterium. RNAcentral describes it as "partial 16S ribosomal RNA". It matches the Rfam family "Bacterial small subunit ribosomal RNA", at positions 524 to 776 of the family's 1533-position model. The record is from RNAcentral.
UACGUAGGGGGGCUAGCGUUGUCCGGAAUCAUUGGGCGUAAAGAGCGUGUAGGCGGCCCGGUAAGUCCGCUGUGAAAGUCGGGGGCUCAACCCUCGAAUGCCGGUGGAUACUGUCGGGCUAGAGUGCGGAAGAGGCGAGUGGAAUUCCUGGUGUAGCGGUGAAAUGCGCAGAUAUCGGGAGGAACACCAAUUGCGAAGGCAGCUCGCUGGGACGUAACUGACGCUGAGACGGCGAAAGCGUGGGGAGCAAACAGG